GGCCUCGUAGCUCAGUUGCCUAGAGCGUUGGCUGUACUUUAGCUUUUUCCUUGUGGGCGUGGGUUCGAAUCCCACAGAGGCCG
RNAcentral lists this transfer RNA (83 nucleotides) under Schistocephalus solidus. It matches the Rfam family "tRNA". From Rfam's summary of the family: Transfer RNA (tRNA) molecules are approximately 80 nucleotides in length. The record is from Rfam by way of RNAcentral. Lineage: Eukaryota; Metazoa; Platyhelminthes; Cestoda; Diphyllobothriidea; Diphyllobothriidae.